AGCGGGGUGGAGCAGCCUGGUAGCUCGUCGGGCUCAUAACCCGAAGGUCGAUGGUUCAAAUCCAUCCCCCGCCACCA
Molecule: transfer RNA, 77 nt
Filed under: Nitrospirota bacterium
Lineage: Bacteria; Pseudomonadati; Nitrospirota
Description: Nitrospirae bacterium (sediment metagenome) tRNA-Met
Rfam family: tRNA
About the family: Transfer RNA (tRNA) molecules are approximately 80 nucleotides in length. Their secondary structure includes four short double-helical elements and three loops (D, anti-codon, and T loops).
Source: RNAcentral